UUGCCCAGGCCCAGGGUUCCUCAAAAUCAAAAUGGGAUAUUGUGUUCUUUUCUUUGCAGCAGGAUGUGGCCAUGGAGCAUGAGUUUUGGCCAAUUGGAUGGAAGCUGCAAUGUUGAGUGGCAGUUUCUGGGAACUACUCUCAGGAGGCAGCUGGUGCCAGUUCUUUGCUUCGCCGUCCCUUCGUGUCUUCCUGCAUCCUGCUGCUGUCAUGAGGACGUGCCCCGAGGAGUGAUGACAAAGCAGUCAACAGGAGAGCUUGUGUCCUUGAGGACAUUACCGGAGUAAUAGUCAAUGAUUCAUACCUAACUUCGUAUAGUGAAUAAAGACGGGAUGGAGACUACUGCUGAUCAGAGAAAGGGAAAAAAAAGUGAGAAGUGGUUGAGGAGAAGCUAGGGCCACAAAAACAGUUUUGUAAUAUGUGAAAAACAGAGAGCAGACAACACCAUUGUCAUCCAACACAGUCCAGUUCUCCAACUACCUAGAACUGUUCUUAAAUUAACCAGGCUCUCUCAAACCACCAUUCCUUUCUUCAUGCUGUGUCCUUGGGGUAUGUGUGUCUUUGGCAGGGGGGUGAGGUUGUCCAGCCUUCCUUGGCCUGAAAAAGUCCUCCUCAUUUGGCAAAGUCCAACUCUCAUGUCUUGUCCAUUUUUUCUUUGAGGGUCUCCCAGGUCCCACUGGUAACCUAACUUUUCUCUUUCAGUUUCCACGUGUGGACUUCUGUUAAUUUCAAUUUAGUGCUUUUCAUAUUCUGCUCCAUAUUUCAGUUCAGUGGGUUGAUACCUGCCUCUCAAGAUAUUAUAAACUCUUGGAAGCUAGGGUCUCAUCAUUGCUGUCUACAACACCUAGUCUAGGGAUUAUGUUUGAUUGUGAUUGACAGAAAUCUGGCUUAAAGAAACUGAAAUAGGGAACUUGUUUCCUUUCUAUCAUAAGAAGCCUAGAAGUAGGCAGCUGAAGCCACUGGUUUGGCAACUCGACAACAAGUCUACAUCUCCAGACUUCUCUGGGUGUUUUCUUCUUGGUUGCAAGACGGCGGCAUCUCAGCCAGCCUUCUGCAGAGACCAGCACACUUCCUUAUCUCUUAGGUCAGAACUGACUCUCAUGGUAAUUCCUAAGUAUAGCCGGGGUGGGGGUGGGGGAGUGGUGUUGAGUUUUAUAGCCUAGUGUAGAAACUGACAAAAGGAAGCAGGUUGGAAUAGGUUUCAAGUUAGCUGCCCUCCCGAUGGCUGACAAUUCUCUCAGUGCUUGUGCAAGGCGUGCAAGGUUAGACGGUGGUCCAGCAAGAACUCUUCCUCACAAGGCCUUUGGAACAGUAAGAACAAUCACCAGCAUUUUAAGAAAUGUAAAAAAUUUAAGAAAUUUAAAUUUCCUCAAGUGUGCCUUGAAGCUAUAAAUUAAGCCUUAAUUCAACAGGUGCUUUCAAAAGAGUUAAAUACAUAUUCAUGCAUCCUUAUUUUUUGCUUUUUGAUUCUUUAUGGCACAGGGGAUGGAUUUGAUAAAAAUAAUAUGUAGGGAGGCACAGAAGUCAGAAUGAGGGGACGUCCGGAUGGCUCAGUCAGUGAAGCGUAGCCUUCAGCUCAGGUCAUGAUCUCAGGGUCCUGGGAUGGAGCCCCACGUUGGGCUCCAUGAUCAGCGAGGAGUCUGCUGCUCCCUUUCCUUCUGCUGCUCCUCCUGCUUGGGCUCUCUCUCUCUCUCAAAUAAAUAAAUAAAGCCUUAAAAAAAAAAGUUGGAUUGCAAGGAUGUGGGGCAGAAGGAAAGCACAAGUGUGAUUUUACUGUGUUGAACUGUGAGGUUCCAGGGCCAGGAGGACUUGAAAGGCAGAAAGAAAUGUGGAUGGCUGACAUGAACUGUGUCG
Molecule: long non-coding RNA, 1852 nt
Filed under: Mustela putorius furo (domestic ferret)
Lineage: Eukaryota; Metazoa; Chordata; Mammalia; Carnivora; Mustelidae
Description: lncRNA (ENSMPUG00000026865.1)
Source: RNAcentral